RNAcentral lists this ribosomal RNA (734 nucleotides) under Gram-positive bacterium SY001. Its description in RNAcentral is "bacterial SSU rRNA". It matches the Rfam family "Bacterial small subunit ribosomal RNA", at positions 65 to 816 of the family's 1533-position model. The record is from RNAcentral.
AGCGGUAAGGCCUUUCGGGGUACACGAGCGGCGAACGGGUGAGUAACACGUGGGUGAUCUGCCCUGCACUCUGGGAUAAGCUUGGGAAACUGGGUCUAAUACCGGAUAUGACCGCAUGCCGCAUGGUGUGUGGUGGAAAGAUUUAUCGGUGCAGGAUGGGCCCGCGGCCUAUCAGCUUGUUGGUGGGGUAAUGGCNNACCAAGGCGACGACGGGUAGCCGACCUGAGAGGGUGACCGGCCACACUGGGACUGAGACACGGCCCAGACUCCUACGGGAGGCAGCAGUGGGGAAUAUUGCACAAUGGGCGGAAGCCUGAUGCAGCGACGCCGCGUGAGGGAUGAAGGCCUUCGGGUUGUAAACCUCUUUCAGCAGGGACGAAGCGUGAGUGACGGUACCUGCAGAAGAAGCACCGGCUAACUACGUGCCAGCAGCCGCGGUAAUACGUAGGGUGCGAGCGUUGUCCGGAAUUACUGGGCGUAAAGAGUUCGUAGGCGGUUUGUCGCGUCGUUUGUGAAAACCCGGGGCUCAACUUCGGGCUUGCAGGCGAUACGGGCAGACUUGAGUGUUUCAGGGGAGACUGGAAUUCCUGGUGUAGCGGUGAAAUGCGCAGAUAUCAGGAGGAACACCGGUGGCGAAGGCGGGUCUCUGGGAAACAACUGACGCUGAGGAACGAAAGCGUGGGUAGCAAACAGGAUUAGAUACCCUGGUAGUCCACGCCGUAAACGGUGGGCGC